RNAcentral lists this ribosomal RNA (470 nucleotides) under uncultured eukaryote. RNAcentral describes it as "bacterial SSU rRNA". It matches the Rfam family "Eukaryotic small subunit ribosomal RNA", at positions 592 to 1024 of the family's 1831-position model. The record is from RNAcentral.
CAAUAGCGUAUAUUAAAGUUGUUGCAGUUAAAAAGCUCGUAGUCGGAUUUCGGGUCGGGCCGAGCGGUCUGCCGAUGGGUAUGCACUGUUUGGCGCGGCCUUCUUUCCGGAGACCGCGGCUACUCUUAACUGAGCGGGCGUGGGAGACGGAUCGUUUACUUUGAAAAAAUCAGAGUGUUUCUAGCAGGCAGCUCGCUCUUGCAUAGGUUAGCAUGGGAUAAUUUAAUAGGACUCUGGUGCUAUUUUGUUGGUUUCGAACACCGGAGUAAUGAUUAAUAGGGACAGUUGGGGGCAUUAGUAUUUAAUUGUCAGAGGUGAAAUUCUUGGAUUUAUGAAAGACUAACUACUGCGAAAGCAUUUGCCAAGGAUGUUUUCAUUAUCUACGAACGAAACGUAAAGGGGUAAGGGUACGUACGGAAGUAGUAGUUAAGUAAGUAACCUAACCUACUUCGUAGGAACGUACGUCCGAA